Molecule: small nuclear RNA, 105 nt
Filed under: Dasypus novemcinctus (nine-banded armadillo)
Lineage: Eukaryota; Metazoa; Chordata; Mammalia; Cingulata; Dasypodidae
Source: RNAcentral
GUUCACAUCAGCAGAACAUACACUAAAAUUGGAACAAUACAGAGAAGAUUAGCAAGGCCCCUGUGCAAGGAUGAUACACAAAUUUGUGAAGUGCUUAUAUAUGUU